CCGCACGGGUGAGUAACACGUAUGCAAUCCACCUGUAACAGGGGGAUAACCCGGAGAAAUCCGGACUAAUACCCCAUAAUAUGGGCGCUCCGCAUGGAGAGCCCAUUAAAGAGAGCAAUUUUGGUUACAGACGAGCAUGCGCUCCAUUAGCCAGUUGGCGGGGUAACGGCCCACCAAAGCGACGAUGGAUAGGGGUUCUGAGAGGAAGGUCCCCCACAUUGGUACUGAGACACGGCCAA
Molecule: ribosomal RNA, 239 nt
Filed under: uncultured bacterium
Lineage: Bacteria
Description: partial 16S ribosomal RNA
Rfam family: Bacterial small subunit ribosomal RNA
Source: RNAcentral